RNAcentral lists this unclassified non-coding RNA (163 nucleotides) under uncultured Xylariales. Its description in RNAcentral is "sequence contains ITS1". Lineage: Eukaryota; Fungi; Ascomycota; Sordariomycetes; Xylariales. The record is from RNAcentral.
UAGAGUUUUAUAACUCCCAACCCUUUGUGAACUUACCUUUGUUGCCUCGGCGGGACCUACCCGGUACCUGUCCCUUUUGGGACAGACUACCCUGUAGCCCGCCGGUGGAUAUUCAAAACUCGUUAUUUUUAAUGUUAUCUGAGCGUCUUAUUUUAAUAAGUCA